AGUGAACGCUGGCGGUAGGCCUAACACAUGCGAGUCGAACGGCAGCACAGUAAGAGCUUGCUCUUACGGGUGGCGAGUGGCGGACGGGUGAGGAAUACAUCGGAAUCUACUUUUUCGAGGGGGAUAACGUAGGGAAACUUACGCUAAUACCGCAUACGACCUACGGGUGAAAGCAGGGGAUCUUCGGACCUUGCGCGAUUGAAUGAGCCGAUGUCGGAUUAGCUAGUUGGCGGGGUAAAGGCCCACCAAGGCGACGAUCCGUAGCUGGUCUGAGAGGAUGAUCAGCCACACUGGAACUGAGACACGGUCCAGACUCCUACGGGAGGCAGCAGUGGGGAAUAUUGGACAAUGGGCGCAAGCCUGAUCCAGCCAUACCGCGUGGGUGAAGAAGGCCUUCGGGUUGUAAAGCCCUUUUGUUGGGAAAGAAAAGCAGCAGGUUAAUACCCCGCUGUUCUGACGGUACCCAAAGAAUAAGCACCGGCUAACUUCGUG
This 492-nucleotide ribosomal RNA is filed under the name uncultured bacterium. RNAcentral describes it as "partial 16S ribosomal RNA". It matches the Rfam family "Bacterial small subunit ribosomal RNA", at positions 29 to 507 of the family's 1533-position model. The record is from RNAcentral.